Molecule: ribosomal RNA, 448 nt
Filed under: uncultured bacterium
Lineage: Bacteria
Description: bacterial SSU rRNA
Rfam family: Bacterial small subunit ribosomal RNA
Source: RNAcentral
AGUGAACGUUGGCGGCGUGGAUUAGGCAUGCAAGUCGAGCGAUCGUAGCAAUACGGGAGCGGCAAACGGGGGUAGGAAUACAUCGGAACGUACCUUUUGGUUGAGAAUAGCGUUGGGAAACUGACGGUAAUACUCAAUAAAGCCGAGAGACCAAAGGUUUACUGCCGGAAGAGCGGCCGAUGCGAUAUUAGGUAGUUGGUGGGGUAAUGGCCUACCAAGCCUGAGAUGUCUAGGGGGUGUGAGAGCAUGGCCCCCACCACUGGGACUGAGAUACUGCCCAGACACCUACGGGUGGCUGCAGUCGAGGAUCUUCGUCAAUGGGCGAAAGCCUGAACGAGCGACGCCGCGUGCGGGAUGAAGGCCCUUGGGUUGUAAACCGCUGUCAGGGGGAUGAACCGUAAGGUUGACAGAGCCCCAGAGGAAGCACGGGCUAAGUUCGUGCCAGCAG